Molecule: ribosomal RNA, 253 nt
Filed under: uncultured bacterium
Lineage: Bacteria
Description: partial 16S ribosomal RNA
Rfam family: Bacterial small subunit ribosomal RNA
Source: RNAcentral
UACGUAGGGACCAAGCGUUGUUCGGAUUUACUGGGCGUAAAGGGCGCGUAGGCGGCAUUGUUAGUCACUUGUGAAAUCUCCGGGCUUAACUCGGAACGGCCAAGUGAUACUGCAGUGCUAGAGUGCGGAAGGGGCAAUCGGAAUUCUUGGUGUAGCGGUGAAAUGCGUAGAUAUCAAGAGGAACACCAGAGGUGAAGACGGGUUGCUGGGCGGACACUGACGCUGAGGCGCGAAAGCCAGGGGAGCAAACGGG